GAAGGAGCCUGAGAAACGGCUACUACAUCCAAGGAAGGCAGCAGGCGCGCAAAUUACCCAAUCCCGACACGGGGAGGUAGUGACAAUAAAUACUGAUACAGGGCUCUUUUGGGUCUUGUAAUCGGAAUGAGUACAAUUUAAAUCCCUUAACGAGGAACAAUUGGAGGGCAAGUCUGGUGCCAGCAGCCGCGGUAAUUCCAGCUCCAAUAGCGUAUAUUAAAGUUGUUGUGGUUAAAAAGCUCGUAGUUGAACCUUGGGCCUGGCUGGCCGGUCCGCCUCACCGCGUGCACUGGUCCGGCCGGGCCUUUCCCUCUGCGGAACCCCAUGCCCUUCACUGGGUGUGGCGGGGAAACAGGACUUUUACUUUGAAAAAAUUAGAGUGCUCAAGGCAGGCCUAUGCUCGAAUACAUUAGCAUGGAAUAAUAGAAUAGGACGUGUGGUUCUAUUUUGUUGGUUUCUAGGACCGCCGUAAUGAUUAAUAGGGACAGUCGGGGGCAUCAGUAUUCAAUUGUCAGAGGUGAAAUUCUUGGAUUUAUUGAAGACUAACUACUGCGAAAGCAUUUGCCAAGGAUGUUUUCAUUAAUCAGGAACGAAAGUUAGGGGAUCGAAGACGAUCAGAUACCGUCGUAGUCUUAACCAUAAACUAUGCCGACUAGGGAUCGGACGAUGUUACAUUUUUGACGC
RNAcentral lists this ribosomal RNA (684 nucleotides) under fungal sp. K2. RNAcentral describes it as "SSU rRNA". It matches the Rfam family "Eukaryotic small subunit ribosomal RNA", at positions 388 to 1077 of the family's 1831-position model. Lineage: Eukaryota; Fungi. The record is from RNAcentral.